AUGCUCUCUUCGGCAGCACAUACACUAAAUUUGGAAUGAUACAGAGAAGAUUAGCAUGGCCCCUGCACAAGGAUGACACGCAAAUUCAUGAAGCAUUCCAUAUUUUU
Molecule: small nuclear RNA, 107 nt
Organism: Heterocephalus glaber (naked mole-rat)
Lineage: Eukaryota; Metazoa; Chordata; Mammalia; Rodentia; Bathyergidae
Source: Ensembl